GGUAGCACACUUGCUAUCUCAAGAACCCUAAUGUCAGCUGCCAUGUGGGGAUCAAUGACUGACUGACUGACUGGUUGGGGGCAGAAGAUGCAGUAACUGAGUAGGAAUCAGGAAAAACAGAAGGGCCCAGAAACACCUUCACAGCCCCAGAUCACUAGGAGUCAGUGUGUAAUAAUGCUCUAAAACUCAUCUCUGGACUUGAUACCCUCUUGCACAGGAUAUCUGCAGACCUCUACACUGGCCCCCUGGGUAACAGCAGACAAAGCUGGAGAAACAGCAGGGCCCUGAUGACCUUCAGCCCCAUAUGGAGCAGAAUUCUGGAAGAACUGAUUAAACACAGAAGAAAUGAAUUCUCAAGGUGAAGCCUUCUCCAUGGAAACAGUAUGUUGCUUUGUGUUUCAAUCAUUUUGUGACAGAGGGCAAUUUCCUGCAACAUCCCAGAUCAACCGUACUGAGUUAAGUUAAAUCUUGUUAAGUUUAAGGAUCCAUUGUAUUAAAAAUAGAAUUGUCUGUGUAGUUGUAGGACUGUAUGCAACUUUUCUAGGAUACUGACUAAUGUAUAUCUUGGGGAAAUGUUAGGAACUUCAAAGAACUGUUUAGGACAGUAUGUGUGAAGUGGGCUUCCUAGGAGGUACUUGGAAGGGCAUUUGAAGCUAUGCCCUGGGGAGGAAAACCCAUUGUCUACUGAUUGAUCUGGAGUUUCCAGAAGCAGGUAAAGAGCCCUGAACUAUGAGAAUGGACUAAACUUUUCAUAAGUGUGCUAGUUCUGU
Long non-coding RNA from Mauremys mutica (yellowpond turtle), 770 nucleotides. RefSeq lists it as uncharacterized. The record is from RefSeq and is a predicted model, not a curated record. Lineage: Eukaryota; Metazoa; Chordata; Testudines; Geoemydidae. The transcript is spliced from 3 exons.